This 260-nucleotide ribosomal RNA is filed under the name uncultured bacterium. RNAcentral's name for it is "partial 16S ribosomal RNA". It matches the Rfam family "Bacterial small subunit ribosomal RNA", at positions 793 to 1055 of the family's 1533-position model. The record is from RNAcentral.
GUCCGCACGGUAAACGAUGGAUGCCCGCUGUUGGUCUGAACAGGUCAGCGGCCAAGCGAAAGCAUUAAGCAUCCCACCUGGGGAGUACGCCGGCAACGGUGAAACUCAAAGGAAUUGACGGGGGCCCCGCACAAGCGGAGGAACAUGUGGUUUAAUUCGAUGAUACGCGAGGAACCUUACCCGGGCUUGAAUUGCAGAGGAAGGAUUUGGAGACAAUGACGCCCUUCGGGGUCUCUGUGAAGGUGCUGCAUGGUUGUCGU